AUUGAACGCUGGCGGAAUGCUUUACGCAUGCAAGUCGAACGGCAGCACGGACUUCGGUCUGGUGGCGAGUGGCGAACGGGUGAGUAACAUAUCGGAACGUAUCCAAUAAUGGGGGAUAACGAGUCGAAAGAUUCGCUAAUACCGCAUACGCCCUACGGGGGAAAGCUGGGGACCUUCGGGCCUGGCGUUAAUGGAGCGGCCGAUAUCUGAUUAGCUAGUUGGUGAGGUAAAGGCUCACCAAGGCGACGAUCAGUAGCUGGUCUGAGAGGACGACCAGCCACACGGGAACUGAGUCACGGUCCAGACUCCUACGGGAGGCAGCAGUGGGGAAUUUUGGACAAUGGGCGCAAGCCUGAUCCAGCCAUUCCGCGUGAGUGAAGAAGGCCUUCGGGUUGUAAAGCUCUUUCGCAAGGGAAGAAAACUUAGCCACUAACAUUGGUUGAGGUUGACGGUACCUUGAUAAGAAGCACCGGCUAACUACGUGCCAGCAGCCGCGGUAA
Molecule: ribosomal RNA, 500 nt
Filed under: uncultured bacterium
Lineage: Bacteria
Description: partial 16S ribosomal RNA
Rfam family: Bacterial small subunit ribosomal RNA
Source: RNAcentral